AGAGUUAAAGCGACCUAAGAAAUGAUCAAAUCUAAUCCAUUCAUUUUCCAGAUGUGGAUAUUGAACCCUGGGAAGUGAGUUCUUCCUGAGUGGUCUGCAUGGAGUCCAAAAUUGCGUUUUUACUUGUUUUCUCCUCCAGCAUACGGAAAAUGAAAUGAUCACUGAGGCAAGAGUCAUCUAAGUCCAGGAGCAAGAUAAAAGUCAGACUGACUUGCGAUGACCGGGUUGGAAUCUUCAAUGUCUGACCAAACUCUCAGAGCUCCACAGCACCUACUUUAGCUGCCUUUGGGAC
This 292-nucleotide long non-coding RNA is filed under the name Monodelphis domestica (gray short-tailed opossum). RNAcentral's name for it is "lncRNA (ENSMODG00000030746.2)". The record is from RNAcentral. Lineage: Eukaryota; Metazoa; Chordata; Mammalia; Didelphimorphia; Didelphidae.